Non-coding RNA from Astyanax mexicanus (Mexican tetra), 426 nucleotides. The record is from the annotation of a RefSeq genome assembly. Lineage: Eukaryota; Metazoa; Chordata; Actinopteri; Characiformes; Acestrorhamphidae.
AGAACACUGUGGGGAAGACCAGCAGCAUAUUCUUCUUCUGCUCUUGAACUCAACAUGUUCUCUACACGUCUACUGCUGUUACUGAUAGCAGCUGUUUCCUGUGUUCACUGUGUUGAACUGAGCCAGUCUGGAUCUACAGUUGUAGCACCUGGUCAAUCAACUACACUGACCUGUAGAGUUUCUGGAUAUUCACUGACUGAUAGCAGCUACUGUACAUACUGGAUACGACAGCCUGCAGGAAAAGCUCUGGAGUGGGUUGGAGGUAUAUGUGGUUGGGGUAGCACUUUCUACAGUGAUAAACUGAAGAGCAGGUUUGAAGCUACCAGAGACUCGUCCAGCAGCACAGUGUCUUUAAGAGGACAGAAUCUGCAGACUGAAGAUACAGCUGUGUAUUACUGCGCUCGAUACCCACAGUGAACCACAUCA